This 351-nucleotide ribosomal RNA is filed under the name uncultured bacterium. Its description in RNAcentral is "bacterial SSU rRNA". It matches the Rfam family "Bacterial small subunit ribosomal RNA", at positions 917 to 1271 of the family's 1533-position model. The record is from RNAcentral.
GGGCCCGCACAAGCGGUGGAGCAUGUGGUUUAAUUCGAUGAUACGCGAGGAACCUUACCAGGGUUUAAAUGCAGAACGACAGGGGUGGAAACACCCCCUUCUUCGGACGGACUGCAAGGUGCUGCAUGGUUGUCGUCAGCUCGUGCUGUGAAGUGUCGGGUUAAGUCCCAUAACGAGCGCAACCCCCAUUUCUAGUUGCCAGCGGUUCGGCCGGGGACUCUAGAGAAACUGCCAGCGUAAGCUGUGAGGAAGGUGGGGAUGACGUCAAAUCAUCACGGCCCUUACAUCCUGGGCCACACACGUGCUACAAUGGUAGGGACAACAGGUUGCCAACCCGCGAGGGUGAGCCAA